Molecule: microRNA precursor, 73 nt
Filed under: Culex quinquefasciatus (southern house mosquito)
Lineage: Eukaryota; Metazoa; Arthropoda; Insecta; Diptera; Culicidae
Description: mir-375 microRNA precursor family
Source: Rfam by way of RNAcentral
AGUUACUCAAGCCGGACGUAACCGAAACUUGGCUCUGCUGUGGAAGAGUUUGUUCGUUUGGCUCGAGUUAUGC